This 2108-nucleotide long non-coding RNA is filed under the name Homo sapiens (human). RNAcentral's name for it is "HSALNT0395310". The record is from RNAcentral. Lineage: Eukaryota; Metazoa; Chordata; Mammalia; Primates; Hominidae.
AGGAAGAGAGAGGAGUUAGGACGAGAGUGCCGCAGGGUCCUCCCACACCAGCAUCCCCUCUUCUGUGGUCCCGGGUGGAUGCUGAGCCAUUGGGUGUCUCUCUCAUCUGCUAAUAGAAAUGGCACCCCGGAGAGCUGGUCUUUUCAUUCCAUUUCUCCCGACCUCCCUCAGCAAAUGCUAAUUGAAUUUCCAGUUCUGUGAGAGAGAACUGGAAUCGGAUUCCCAGGCCCCAGGGAGUGGUGCCUGGCAUAACCACUGCUCUGCAAAACAACGCUGCACUUCUGUGGGUGAAAGUGCAGCCGCUCCAUUGCUUUGCUUUGAAUGAGCACUUUUUCUCGUCAGCUAGAGGUGCCAGGGCAGCCGAGGGGAACUGCCAGCGACAACAGGAGCAACUUCUUUUUCGGCGGGACCCUAGCACACCCCUUGCUACACGCGCCAGCAAAGAGCAAAGCCACGUGUCCAUCCCUGGGGACGUCCCUCCUAUGUGCCAUCUCAUCUGCCACACCAGACAAAUCAAAUGCACAGAGAGCUUUGUCUGCAAACUUUGACUUGAAGGGGUCUUAAAACCAUGCAUUUACACGUUUGGGGGACAAAUAAUUUCGAUGUUUAAAAGAGAGUUGGCAGCUAAUUGAGAUGGUGCACAGGUGUGCUGUGGCCCACGGUGUGGAGGUAGCCAGGCGUGGCCAUCCCUCUAGAAAGAGGAAUGCGUUGGUCACUCAGAAUGUCACUUAGAUCGACGAAGCAGAACUGCACUUUUUUUGCAUUCAAAUUUUUAUUCAAAGUUUAGUCUCUCUCCUUGGGUUUCCCCUCUUUUAUGAAAUGAUCAAUUUUGGCGAAGAGCCCCCAGAAAGCAAGAUAGAAAAGAAAUAUGCUCUUUACCGUGGCCGAUCAGCAACGAACCAACACUGUCCUCAUCUAAUUCUACGUCUUCCACACUGCCCAGUAACACAAAUAACCAGAGCGCAGACGCCAAGAAUCCUUCCAAGUAACGCAGCUAACAGACCAAGGUGACAGUUCUGACUUCUUGGGGGGUUUUCCAAGUACAUACGUAGCAUUAUAAACAAGCCUCUAUGUUGUGCUUACACAACUCACUCAAGGGAUUUUUGUUUUCACAAGUGAAAACGUUUAUGAAAUGCUAGCCUGCGAAGCCGCUUCAGGAACCAUCUAGUGAGAUUUCCCUCCCAAGACAGGCAGCUUUCUCACAUACCGUGGAGGCCUCCUGCCGGCCUGGGGACUGACAGGUGCAGGGCCCUGCCCCUCGAGGGCCAGCCUCUCCCUCGGGAGCGUGGGUUUUUCCUGUUUGAUCCUGGCUUAACUUGAACAUCUCUGGCAUUGGAGCUGCCCUCUGGAGUAGCCCAGAAGUUGGCACUCACCUCACCUUUUGCUGCAUUUCCAAGAGAUCAGCCUUUGGACUUCCUGGAAAGUGGUAGAACCACUGUCCUAUGAAACAAAGUGCUUCUGUGCUGAAAUGGAGUAAGUUCCCUGCAGCCUCUGGCAAGCACCUCCUGGAGUAGGUGUUCCUAUCAUCCUCUCUUUAUAGCUCAGGAGCCAAAGCUCAGCCAGCCCGAAGGAGCCAGGAUUAGAGCCUGCAUGGAUGCAACAGUCACGCUUCUCUCUAUUACGUGUCUUGCAACUUGGAGUCACAUGAUCUCAGCAUCUGAUCCACCCUGGGCUCAGAACCUCCCAGAACCUCCCAGAAUCGAGGCUCACGGCAGAGGUUCUGCACUCACCAAGGACGCGGGGGGACCAUGUCUGUGCUCAUGUGGAUCCCCGCUGCUGGGCAGAGCACACCACACAUCCAGACUCAACAAAAUACAUGGAGUCAAAGGUCAGGUGACUGAAUCAAUGAGUAUGUUACACACCAAGAAAGACCCCUCCUCUCUGCACCCCGGGGAGCAGCCCCAGAAGCCUGGUCUCCUCCAGGAUGAAAAUGCAAACGCAGGUGCCUGGGGGCUCCCAGAGCCUUUGGCUUCACGGUUCCCUCCCGGCCCUGCCUGGAGCUUCAUGUGCCUCCCCUUUUGCUUAAUGAGAGCCGCUGUCUAAGAGUUAAGGGUUUUCUGGGUGACGUUUAACAAUAAUAAAGGUGACUGCUUAUCUAAGGAAUCCGA